CUAACCUUGUAAGGGAAGCACAAAGCAAAGAGGCUGUGGCUGCUGUCAUCCCUCAAAGAGCAGUGGAGAGAAAAUAUUUGGUGGGGGCUGCAGGAGACCAAAGCAGCUAGAAAGCCCACCAGAAAGCCAGAAAGCCCAGCCCAGCAUGGGUGAAGGCCCCCUGGAGACAGCCACGCAGCCUGCAGCCAGCAACAUCUAGAGGCUCUUGUCCCCAGCAACUGGUUUUCUGCUCACCCACCAUUCCCAUGAGCCUUGUGAAUCCUUCAUCAGAAGUAGCACUGCUUGGGAGCGGCUGUGUGUGAAGCUGUGAACAGAAAGCCUGAUUGCCUUGGAGACUCCAAGAUACUGGAGAUGCCAGAGUCACGUGACACCUGCUGAGGAGAGCUGCUAACAGGAAGAGGAACCAGCCCAAGAGAAAGAAGUGUGUUGCAGUCAGCAAAGCUGAAAGGUGUUGGAGAUCUGAAGAGGCUUUGGUGUCAGACACAGAGAUGCAGAGUUUAGAGUUUGCCCAGCUAGUUUUUAGUUUUGCUUUGGUUCAGUAUUUCUCCACUAUGUUCCAUUUCCUCCCUUUUGGAAUGGUAAUGUAUAUUCUGUGCCUUUGUAUGUUGGAAGU
Meriones unguiculatus (Mongolian gerbil) is the source of this 613-nucleotide long non-coding RNA. RefSeq lists it as uncharacterized. The transcript has 3 exons. NCBI's taxonomy places the organism in Eukaryota, Metazoa, Chordata, Mammalia, Rodentia, Muridae. The record is from RefSeq and is a predicted model, not a curated record.